GAUCCUGGCUCAGAACGAACGCUGGCGGCAGGCUUAACACAUGCAAGUCGAACGCUCGUAGCAAUACGGGAGUGGCGGACGGGUGAGUAACGCGUGGGAACGUGCCCUGAGGUACGGAAUAACUGAGGGAAACUUCAGCUAAUACCGUAUGAGCCCCGAGAGGGGGAAAGAUUUAUCGCCUUGGGAGCGGCCCGCGUCGGAUUAGCUAGUUGGUGGGGUAACGGCCUACCAAGGCUUCGAUCCGUAGCUGGUCUGAGAGGACGAUCAGCCACACUGGGACUGAGACACGGCCCAGACUCCUACGGGAGGCAGCAGUGGGGAAUCUUGCGCAAUGGGGGCAACCCUGACGCAGCCAUGCCGCGUGAACGAUGAAGGCCUUAGGGUUGUAAAGUUCUUUACCCGUGACGAUGAUGACGGUAACGGGGGAAUAAGCUCCGGCUAACUUCGUG
Molecule: ribosomal RNA, 449 nt
Filed under: uncultured bacterium
Lineage: Bacteria
Description: bacterial SSU rRNA
Rfam family: Bacterial small subunit ribosomal RNA
Source: RNAcentral